UCUCUCUCUCUCUCUCUCUCUCUCUCUAUAGUCUCACUCUUUUCUUCUUCUUCUUCUCUCUCUCUGAAAAUGAACCUCAACCCGAAACCCUAAACUCAUCUCCACCACCAACAAUGUCAUCCUCCACCUCUCACCACCACCACCACCUUCUCCUAAAUCCGCCUCCUCGCUCCCUCUUCAUCUCCGCCACCAAAACCCCCAACCUCCUCUCUCUCCCAACCACCACCCGCCCACAUUUCCCAAUCUCAACCUCCCACUCUCCCCCAAACCCCACCCACCUCGCCUCCCUUCGCCACCGCCUCAACGCCUCCUCCUCCUCCGCCGCCGCCGGACCUCCCUCCUCCUCCGCCGCCGAAGAGUUUUCCUUCAAUCUGGACUAUUUCCUCUCGGUCGCCGAGCUCCUCUGCCUGGCCUCCUCCGCCGUGGUCUCGAUCGGUUAUGGUCUGAGCUCGGCGGUUCCGGGGUGGAAGAAUGCGGCGUU
Molecule: long non-coding RNA, 481 nt
Filed under: Fragaria vesca (wild strawberry)
Lineage: Eukaryota; Viridiplantae; Streptophyta; Magnoliopsida; Rosales; Rosaceae
Description: long non-coding RNA (FVES_LNC000261)
Source: RNAcentral